CCCUUAGAUGUUCUGGGCAGCACGCGCGCUACACUGAUGUGUCCAGUAAGCACCUAACCUCUUCCGAAAGGAACGGGUAACCUUUGCAAAGCACAUCGUGAUGGGGAUAGAUUAUUGCAAUUAUUAGUCUUGAACGAGGAAUUCCUAGUAAGCACAAGUCAUCAGCUUGUGUUGAUUACGUCCCUGCCCUUUGUACACACCGCCCGUCGCUCCUACCGAUUGAAUGUUCCGGUGAGCUCUUCGGACUGCGCGGUCUGCAGUUUCUGCGUUCCGUGCGGAAAGUUGCGCAAACCUUAACAUUUAGAGGAAGGAGAAGUCGUAACA
RNAcentral lists this ribosomal RNA (324 nucleotides) under uncultured eukaryote. RNAcentral describes it as "partial 18S ribosomal RNA". It matches the Rfam family "Eukaryotic small subunit ribosomal RNA", at positions 1470 to 1796 of the family's 1831-position model. The record is from RNAcentral.